AUUGAACGCUGGCGGCAGGCUUAACACAUGCAAGUCGAGCGGGGGAGGUUGCUUCGGUAACUGACCUAGCGGCGGACGGGUGAGUAAUGCUUAGGAAUCUGCCUAUUAGUGGGGGACAACAUCUCGAAAGGGAUGCUAAUACCGCAUACGUCCUACGGGAGAAAGCAGGGGACCUUUGGGCCUUGCGCUAAUAGAUGAGCCUAAGUCGGAUUAGCUAGUUGGUGGGGUAAAGGCCUACCAAGGCGACGAUCUGUAGCGGGUCUGAGAGGAUGAUCCGCCACACUGGGACUGAGACACGGCCCAGACUCCUACGGGAGGCAGCAGUGGGGAAUAUUGGACAAUGGGGGGAACCCUGAUCCAGCCAUGCCGCGUGUGUGAAGAAGGCCUUUUGGUUGUAAAGCACUUUAAGCGAGGAGGAGGCUACUGGUAUUAAUACUACCGGAUAGUGGACGUUACUCGCAGAAUAAGCACCGGCUAACUCUGUGCCAGCCGCCGCAGUAA
RNAcentral lists this ribosomal RNA (501 nucleotides) under uncultured bacterium. RNAcentral describes it as "partial 16S ribosomal RNA". It matches the Rfam family "Bacterial small subunit ribosomal RNA", at positions 30 to 523 of the family's 1533-position model. The record is from RNAcentral.